AUUUGGAUUGUUUAUUUGGGAUCCAUAAAAUAUUGGUGCACCAAGUAGGAAGAAAAACAGAGUUGGAAAGAGAGUUCUUUUUCAUCAAUAUGUUUUCUGCCCAUAUGUUUUAAGGUUUAAGCUUUGUGGUCCAUGAAUCUUAGGUUGGGGGGAAGAGUAUGGAGAGAUCCUUAUUUGCAGAUGAUGUGGUUCUGAAGUUUACAGUUUUAUCUCAUAAUAUCAAGGGAUUAAAUGA
Molecule: unclassified non-coding RNA, 235 nt
Filed under: Hevea brasiliensis (rubber tree)
Lineage: Eukaryota; Viridiplantae; Streptophyta; Magnoliopsida; Malpighiales; Euphorbiaceae
Source: RNAcentral